CAGUCGCCGCGGUAAUACGAAGGGGGCUAGCGUUGCUCGGAAUCACUGGGCGUAAAGGGUGCGUAGGCGGGUCUUUAAGUCAGGGGUGAAAUCCUGGAGCUCAACUCCAGAACUGCCUUUGAUACUGAAGAUCUUGAGUUCGGGAGAGGUGAGUGGAACUGCGAGUGUAGAGGUGAAAUUCGUAGAUAUUCGCAAGAACACCAGUGGCGAAGGCGGCUCACUGGCCCGAUACUGACGCUGAGGCACGAAAGCGUGGGGAGCAAACAGGAUUAGAUACCCGAGUAGUCCCUGUCUCUUAUAC
This 301-nucleotide ribosomal RNA is filed under the name uncultured bacterium. Its description in RNAcentral is "partial 16S ribosomal RNA". It matches the Rfam family "Bacterial small subunit ribosomal RNA", at positions 509 to 807 of the family's 1533-position model. The record is from RNAcentral.